GACAGAGGGGGCAAGCGUUGCUCGGAAUUACUGGGCGUAAAGGGUGCGUGGGCGGCGCGGUAAGUCGGGUGUGAAAUCUCGGAGCUUAACUCCGAAACUGCAUUCGAUACUGCCGUGCUUGAGGACUGGAGAGGAGACUGGAAUUUACGGUGUAGCGGUGAAAUGCGUAGAUAUCGUAAGGAAGACCAGUGGCGAAGGCGGGUCUCUGGACAGUUCCUGACGCUGAGGCACGAAGGCCAGGGGAGCAAACGGG
RNAcentral lists this ribosomal RNA (253 nucleotides) under uncultured bacterium. RNAcentral's name for it is "partial 16S ribosomal RNA". It matches the Rfam family "Bacterial small subunit ribosomal RNA", at positions 524 to 776 of the family's 1533-position model. The record is from RNAcentral.